Molecule: long non-coding RNA, 3003 nt
Organism: Esox lucius (northern pike)
Lineage: Eukaryota; Metazoa; Chordata; Actinopteri; Esociformes; Esocidae
Source: Ensembl
UAUUAAAAAUAAGAAUUGAUUAAACCUUUUUCUGUAAAAAUGGUUUGUUCUACCAACAGCCAAUCAAUGAUACCCUAACACCUACAGCCUAUCAGAGUGAUACCUUAACACCAACAGCCAAUCAGGGUGAUACCCUAAACACAAGCGCCAACUUAACUUUGUUAAUGCUGUACUAGAAAAAAAGAAUUGAAGUGCCACUGCAAUGUCAUUUUUGGAGCAUGCUGCUACUACCAAUCCCGUUCCAGCCAAUCGCUGCGAAGCAGCCUUUCCUCUUUGGCUUUUUAUGUGCACGCGCAUUUUACCUGGAUGGUGCUAUAUAUAGCAUAUGUAUGCCAUAAGGAGCAAGUUUGCUUACUGUAAGAAACUAUAACGGCAGAGGCAAGGACUGCCAUGUCUACUAGAGCAUACACUACUAUGGUAAAGCGAAGUCUUUAUGUAGCUUGCUACCAGGAACCCUAAGCUAACAUUAGCAAGGCUAACGCUAUUUUUGUUUGGAACCUGAUUCUCUGUUGGGCAUUGGUGAGGGAACCUGAAGGGGCUCUCUGUUUCCACUGGGAGUAUGACACUAUGGACUCCACUUGGAGUCAGGAGAGAGAAGGACAUUUUCAACAACCUGCUUUCAGGCUUCUUCACCAGGGACAUCACUGGUGACCCUCAGAGACAAUAAAGUUCCUCCUUCUGAGACCCAGGUAUCAAACUAAUUUCUGCAUGCCUGGCUGACCUCUCUGCUUGGAUGAUGAACCACUGCAUCAAGCUCAAUCCCGCCAAGAGGGAACUGUUCUACCAGGAGGGUAGUUCUGUCUGUUCCAAGACUUCUCAGUCAGGGUCGACAACUUUACGGCAUUCCCCUCCGAAUGUGAAGAACCUUGCAGUAACCCAUGACAACACCCUGCUGUUCUGCGGAAACAUAAGGGAAUGAUUCCGCAGGUUCAAACUCCUGCAACUCAUUCUGAGAAAUAUGGAAUGGACAACAAACAUCUUAGUGAUCAAAGUAACUUUUUUGUGCAUAAGAUGUCUGUACACCAAUCAGCCCAAGCCGCAUCAUACCGGUAUGAGCCUGUUUGUGUGUCUGUGUGUGUGUGUGAAACCGUCAGUUGUCAGCUUUUGGUGGUGUAAAGAAUUGACAUGAAUAAUAAUACUGAUGGAAUGCCCUAGGCUGUCUGAAUAAUGUUUUUCUUCACAGUGUAUUUGUUAAUGAUUGUCGUUAAGCCUAGUCAUUAUAAAUAGUCAUGUAUAGGUUAAUGAAAACGUUAUGUAUGCUACAUGCUUUAUACACUGACGCAACAAGUUAAAUCAUGUUUUCCUCCCUACUGAACCCGCCCCUUCACAUGUUUUUCCGUGUUCUUCUGCAUUGGAGGUUGGUAAUGCUAUUCAGAAUACCACAGCCUGCAUGGUGUUAAAACUUCACAAGCUCUCCUAUGUCAACCCAUCCUGCAAACAUUAUACUGACUUCCAGUUGAAGCUCACAUCCAUCAGUUCAGAGAAAUAAGUAGUAGCAAUUCCAUGUAAUGCUUAAGUAAAACCUUAAAAUCAUCCCUCUUUAUGAGGGAGUCAGUGUAGACUUUGAGAUCUGAUCAGUUCAGACCUUACAGGAAACAUGAAGACAGUGUUAGUGCAAGUUAUACUUUCUACUAUAGUUUCCCACCAAUCUUAGCAUCUUAGCCUCAAGCCUCACAGCAGAAUAUUUGUUGCCGUGAAUGUGCUUUUUGUAAUUCUGAAAAUAAAAUACACAUGUAAUUCAAGUUUAAUCUAUACAAAUAUUAGAUUACCUAAUUGCAACUUUGCUAAAUGUAUUCACACUUCAUUUUAUAGGCUUGUAGAAUAUCAUUUAAGCACAGGCCUAAAGAAAACACCCUUGUAAAAAUAAGCUUGCACAGAUCUGAAUGUACAUAGACUUGCAAAAUAUGAUUAAAGAUUUGAAGAUCAAGCUUGUAUCCUUGGCCUUUAACAUACAGUUAUGGCCCUCAAUAUCCAACCAUGAAAGUUGACAUACAAGUUAUUUAAAAAAAGGAAAUGGGCUGGCCAUUCACAGUUCUCGUGAAAUGCUUUGGAAGAGUUAUGAAACAAGGUCUGAUAAUGCUUCUGAAAAUAUGGUUAAAGGAUUGAUGUGGUAAUUCUGAGCAUUGCUGUUUACAGAAACUCCAUCUGCAUGGCCCAUUGGAAUUUUAUUCUUUUGACUUUUCCUCACAAACCCAAUUGAUCACAUUAAAUCUUAUAUAUGCCAUACCAUACAAACAAUUGGGCAUCCUGAUUCAAGAAUGUUUGGCGAGACAGAUUUUCUCCCCCUGCUUUAUUCCAAAAUAGUAGUUAUGCAGUGAGUGGGAGGUUCACAGGUCCAUGUCCUCCUUGACUGAAGGAGCUGCAAACAGUGACUCACAGCCAAAUCAGAGUUUCAGGUACUUUCUGAAUUUUGCCCUUUAUUCUCUUUUUACUGGAAACAAACAUUUGGGAAAAAGAACAAUGUAUGAAUGCAAACGCAAAGUACACAUUUCUCCAAAUAUCUACAUGUAGCAAGCUGUCUAACUUGUUAUUACAUUUAUUAUCUUUGUCUGUUAACCAAGGAAAAAUCGUAAGUGUACAACUAUAUAUUAGCUACAGUGUUGUUUUGCGAAACUUGUAGUUAGCUUGUGCCACAGCAGAUUUUUCCCUAUCGUGAUGGCAGUUCAUAUGUAUGAAAACAGUGUUUUUGUGGAUAGAAAAGUAUUUUCAAGUGAACACAGUUUUUGUUUAAAUGGACAUUUCACCUUUGGGGACAUGUUUGAGAGAUUUCUAGGUGAGAUUUGUUUCACCCAUAAUUGGCAGUAUGAGUGCGAGAAUGGGACACAUUCUUGUACAUCAGAGUGUAUAUUGAAUGAAUAGAAGUCAUACUCCCCAUAACAUCUGGAAAACCGUCUCUUUGCGUUCAUACACCAUUCAUUCUGUACAUUGUAUAUAAGCUUAAGUGUUUUGAUCAGUCUUUUAACAGCUUAAAAGCAAAUUCAAUUAUUUUGCUGUCAUUCUGGC